AUGGUGAUUCUUAUCCCAAUAGAGUUGUGCUGUAGCUGAAUAAAUGUAUCAACAAAGUUACCUGGACACACUGCCGGUUUGUUUUGAUUGUACGCUGCCGCUCAUGAAAAAAUAUCAGAGUGAAAAAUUUGUGGCGGUCUAAAUAGGUUUUAGCUUCGAAGCGCUUCACAGUUUGAAAUGAAUAAAGUUCGUUUUGCCGUUGUUCAGACCCAAGAAGCACAAGGCCCUGUGCUUUCGGUGGUUCCGCAGCAGUGGGUGAAAAGUGACGGGUUGUUGUGGCCAAACAAAAAUGCUGCAUCGCUUUCGAAAGACGCCUCAUCGAAGCCAGCAGCUUCAUGGACAAAAUUUCCCUGCA
Molecule: long non-coding RNA, 355 nt
Organism: Aedes aegypti (yellow fever mosquito)
Lineage: Eukaryota; Metazoa; Arthropoda; Insecta; Diptera; Culicidae
Exons: 2
Source: RefSeq, a predicted model, not a curated record